RNAcentral lists this ribosomal RNA (420 nucleotides) under uncultured Dysgonomonas sp. RNAcentral's name for it is "bacterial SSU rRNA". It matches the Rfam family "Bacterial small subunit ribosomal RNA", at positions 356 to 774 of the family's 1533-position model. The record is from RNAcentral. Lineage: Bacteria; Pseudomonadati; Bacteroidota; Bacteroidia; Bacteroidales; Dysgonomonadaceae.
GAGGAAUAUUGGUCAAUGGGCGAGAGCCUGACCAAGCCAAGUCCGGUAAAGGAGGACUGCCUUAGGGUUUUUAAACUCCUUUUUUCCGGGAAUAAAAAGGCUUAGUGUUAGGCCUUGCCAGGUCUGUAUUGAUUAAGCAUGGGCUACCUCGUUGCAGCAGCCGCGGUAAUACGGAGGAUGCGAGCGUUAUCCGGAUUUAUUGGGUUUAAAGGGUGCGCAGGCGGGCUUUUAAGUCAGCGGUGAAAUCUGGACGCUUAACGUCCAAACUGCCGUUGAAACUGGGAGUCUUGAGUAUGGAUGAAGUAGGCGGAAUUCGUUGUGUAGCGGUGACAUGCAUAGAUAUAACGAGGAACUCCGAUUGCGUAGGCAGCUUACUAAGCCAUAACUGACGCUCAUGCACGAAAGCGUGGGGAUCAAACA